Molecule: ribosomal RNA, 1387 nt
Filed under: uncultured microorganism
Description: 16S ribosomal RNA
Rfam family: Bacterial small subunit ribosomal RNA
Source: RNAcentral
GAGAAGUAAUUCACCUUUUGUUCUAGCGGCGGACGGGUGAGUAACGCGUGAGCAACCUGUCCUUGUCUGGGGGAUAAGGAGCCGAAAGGCUCUCUAAUACCGCAUGAGACCACGGGAUCACAUGGUUCUGAGGUCAAAGGAUUUCGGUCCGGACAGGGGUGGGCUCGCGUCUGAUUAGCUAGUUGGUGGGGUAAGGGCUCACCAAGGCAAAGACCAGUAGCCGACCUGAGAGGGUGAUCGGCACAUGAACUGGAAACGGUCAACUCUACGAAGCAGCAGUGGGAAUAUUGGCAUGGGCGAAGCCUGACCAGCAACGCGCGGAGAAGAAGGCUUCGGGUCGUAAACUUCUAUCCCAGAUGAGAUAAUGACGGUAAUCUGGAAGGAAGCCCCGGCUAACUACGUGCCAGCAGCCGCGGUAAUACGUAGGGGGCAAGCGUUGUCCGGAAUGAUUGGGCGUAAAGGGCGCGUAGGCGGCCUUUUAAGUCCGAUGUGAAAGUCCUGCUUUUAAGGUGGGAAUUGCAUUGGAAACUGGAAGGCUUGAGUGCAGGAGAGGUAAGUGGAAUUCCCGGUGUAGCGGUGAAAUGCGUAGAGAUCGGGAGGAACACCAGUGGCGAAGGCGACUUACUGGACUGUAACUGACGCUGAGGCGCGAAAGUGUGGGGAGCAAACAGGAUUAGAUACCCUGGUAGUCCACACGGUAAACGAUGAGUGCUAGGUGUAGGAGGUAUCGACCCCUUCUGUGCCGGAGUCAACACAAUAAGCACUCCGCCUGGGGAGUACGGCCGCAAGGUUGAAACUCAAAGGAAUUGACGGGGGCCCGCACAAGCAGCGGAGCAUGUUGUUUAAUUCGAAGCAACGCGAAGAACCUUACCAGGUCUUGACAUCCAGUAAAAACUGUAGAGAUACAGUGUGACUUCGGUCAUACUGAGACAGGUGGUGCAUGGUUGUCGUCAGCUCGUGUCGUGAGAUGUUGGGUUAAGUCCCGCAACGAGCGCAACCCUUGUGAUUAGUUACUAACGCGUAGAGGCGAGGACUCUAAAAAGACUGCCCGGGACACUCGGAGGAAGGUGGGGACGACGUCAAUCAUCAUGCCCCUUAUGACCUGGCUACAAACGUGCUACAAUGGCCACUACGAGACUGCAAACUCGUACGUAGCGAAUCUCAUAAAAGCGGUCCCAGUGGAUUGUGGGCUGCAACCCGCCCACAUGAAGUCGGAGUUGCUAGUAAUCGCGAAUCAGCAUGUCGCGGUGAAUACGUUCCCGGGCCUUGUACACACCGCCCGUCACACCAUGGGAGUUGAUAGCGCCCGAAGUCGGUGAGGCAACCGUAAGGAGUCAGCCGCCGAAGGUGAGAUCAAUGACUGGGGUGAAGUCGUAACAAGGUAACC